CUUGCUUCUAUAAGAUAGCGGCGGACGGGUGAGUAACACGUGGGUAACCUACCUUAUACAAAGGAAUAACAAUGAGAAAUCAUUGCUAAAACCUUAUAAGCUCACAAAGUCGCAUGACUCAAUGAGAAAAUAUUUAUAGGUAUAAGAUGGACCCGCGUCUGAUUAGCUAGUUGGUAAGGUAACGGCUUACCAAGGCGACGAUCAGUAGCCGACCUGAGAGGGUGACCGGCCACAUUGGGACUGAGACACGGCCCAAACUCCUACGGGAGGCAGCAGUGGGGAAUAUUGCACAAUGGGGGAAACCCUGAUGCAGCAACGCCGCGUGAAGGAUGAAGGCUUUCGAGUUGUAAACUUCUAUCAACGGGGAAGAAAAAAAUGACGGUACCCGAAUAAGAAGCCCCGGCUAACUACGUGCCAGCAGCCGCGGUAAUACGUAGGGGGCAAGCGUUAUCCGGAAUUACUGGGUGUAAAGGGUGAGUAGGCGGUAUGGUAAGUCAUAUGUGAAAGCCCGAGGCUCAACCUCGGGAUUGCAUAAGAAACUAUCA
RNAcentral lists this ribosomal RNA (545 nucleotides) under uncultured bacterium. RNAcentral's name for it is "bacterial SSU rRNA". It matches the Rfam family "Bacterial small subunit ribosomal RNA", at positions 74 to 638 of the family's 1533-position model. The record is from RNAcentral.